CAAAGGUUCAAGUAGGCAGAAAGGAAUAAAAAUUUGCUCGAGUCAGUCUUCUGCAAGAUUGGACAAGAGAGAUCAUUAUGGAAAGAGAUCAUUAGAGCAUUUUCUCUCAUAGACUAAUUUUUCUGUGCAUAUGCCCUGGAAUUGUUAACUCAAAGUGUGGAUUCCUCCUGGUUCACCUGGAAGUCUUCUCUUUUUCCAAUACCUGACUUUGCAUCAUAAAACUUCAUCUGCUGUCAGAGGUGUACCCACAAAAAAGCAAAGAGUAUGUGACUAAAGAGUGAUUAUGAGCUCAAAGGUGCAGCACUGCAGUGGAGCUCAGAGGAGAUGACAUUUACUGAGAAGGAACCACACGCUAAGCAUCCUGUUUCAUUGUCCCAACAGCACACAGAGGUGGAUACUGCUGGUAACCAGUUCUUUUACAGAAGAGUAAACCAGAGUUCUGUGAGAUGCCAUGUAUGGAUGACAGCCAGGAGCAGAAUGAAGAAAGCACCAUUAUGCUACUGCACAGCUGGCUUCAAAACAAAACAAAUAAAAAUAAGC
Long non-coding RNA from Heterocephalus glaber (naked mole-rat), 540 nucleotides. The record is from Ensembl. NCBI's taxonomy places the organism in Eukaryota, Metazoa, Chordata, Mammalia, Rodentia, Bathyergidae.